UUUACUUACAGUUGAACUGAACCUCAAAUGUAGAAAGCAGAUGGUCGUCAAGAAUCGGAAAAUGCUCAUGCUUGAAAUAGCAAUGUGACCAAGCAAGGUGGUACUGAAUCAAGUGUAUAACUUCCUGUGUCACUAAGCACAUCAAGAAAAUACAUUUGUAGGCAGUAUGUUUGGCGAAGUAUCUUGGUUUUUUAGGUCAAAAAGCCAAAGCUGACCACUCCAACACAACCUAAGACAUUGGUGCUCCAAGACAACCUCAAGACAUUUCUACGGUACUUCUCUCAUAGUUUUAUCAAAGAACAUUUCAUCUUGUACUAAUCCAAGAGCUUAUGUUCUAAGCUUCUCUUUGUUGAAAAAUUUCUUCCAGGCUAGCUGAGAGUUUAGAAUUGGAACACAUUGCAGGAGCAAGCAGCAACUACGCAAGAAUUAGUCUUUAAAUGAACACAUAUUAUGUAUAAUGUAUGGAAAGCUUAGUUCUACUUUAUAGUAUAUAUAUUCUCUUAAUUAUUUACAUCUUUCAUAUGAAUGUCUGAUUUGAUUCAGUUGUGAACUCCAUACACAAACGUAUGUAUUUGUUCAUAGAUUUG
RNAcentral lists this long non-coding RNA (587 nucleotides) under Triticum aestivum (bread wheat). RNAcentral describes it as "long non-coding RNA (TAES_LNC024480)". The record is from RNAcentral. Lineage: Eukaryota; Viridiplantae; Streptophyta; Magnoliopsida; Poales; Poaceae.